UACGUAGGGCGCAAGCGUUGUCCGGAAUUAUUGGGCGUAAAGAGCUCGUAGGCGGCCAGUUGCGUCUGCUGUGAAAUCCCGGGGCUCAACCCCGGGCGUGCAGUGGAUACGGGCUGGCUAGAGGCAGGCAGGGGAGAACGGAAUUCCCGGUGUAGCGGUGAAAUGCGUAGAUAUCGUGAGGAACACCAGAGGCGAAGGCGGCUACCUGGACAAUUGCUGACGCUCGGGCACGAAAGCGUGGGGAGCAAAAGGG
Molecule: ribosomal RNA, 253 nt
Filed under: uncultured bacterium
Lineage: Bacteria
Description: partial 16S ribosomal RNA
Rfam family: Bacterial small subunit ribosomal RNA
Source: RNAcentral